CGUUAGUAUACUCACUUUGCAGACGAGGAGACUGAGUCCUGGAGUAGGUGUAUAUGCUGGAGCAGCUGUACUUAAGUCCAGAAAUAAGAAGAUAUUUGAUCUGAGGACUCAGGAGAGAGCAUGGCUGCUGCAUAGAUGGUGCCUUCCAUCGCUUGACAUAGGGAAGCCCAGCCAAAGCCUGUGUCUUGGGCAGCCGGGGAGCUCUCAGGAUGGCUUGAAAUCUCCCACAUGGCCUGGGCCUGUUCUCCUUCCCCUCCAGCUCUCCUGGGUGCAGUCAAAGCUUCACUCCCUACACCCUACUGAACUAUCAGCUGACUGAUUCCCACUUGUCCAUGCCCCAGGACCCCACAGAAGCUCCACAUGCUUCCACAAGCUGAUGCACCAGUUCCAAGAGGAGGAAGAAAAGCUGGCACUCAGCCUUUAUUUCUCCCCAAACACCACAGUCAUUCAAUUCUGAAAAAAAAAAAAAAAAAAAAACCCAUUGCUUUGAAAAACAUAAAAUGAGAUCUAUCAAACAGCAUCUUGUAUUUUAAAGUGGAAAGAAUGGACUUUGGAAUCAUCUUUGGCAGCUAAUAGGCUGGGACACGCAGAGAAAGAGCUUGCCUGCCUCUGCAGACAUUCCUUGGACGAGUGGUUCUAAAUCCCAGCUACACACUCAAAUAGCUGCAGGAGGUUUAAAAACUGUCAAAUCUCCCAGCCCCUGCCCAGCCCAGUCAAUAUUUAUCUCAGGAGGAGGAGCCCUAAAACCAGUGUCUUUUCACAGAGCUCCCUACAUGACUUUGAUGUGUGGCCAGGUGAUAUCUCCUGAGUUCGGAGACACUGAUGCUAUCACUCACACCUAGUCAAAUGAGAGGAGUCGGGGAUGACAGAAGAAUGCAGGCAACUUACCUACCUGAAGCUGGGGCCUCAAGGUCACCAUGCCCUUGAGUGAGCCCUGUAUGGGUCUACCUUGUGUCUGAUGGUUCUCAGCAGGCACAGCUUCUCUUCAGGGCUUCUGCCGACAUCUUCCCUGCAUGUGGAAAAUGGCCUGGGGUCCCCUUAGACUCAGCUCAUGUCCUCCCCUUUGCUCAGGUUCCCUCUGAGUCCCGGUACCCGCCCAUGCUGCAGACCUCCUCAUGACUCCUUCCUCCCUGAGGCCUGGCCAUCUGCACACCCCCAUCCUAUCCUGUCAGCUUGUUUUUUGUCUCUUUGGUGACCAGACAUGAACCCCUCAAGGCUGUUCCCUCCACAUCCCCAGCGCUCAGUUUCAG
RNAcentral lists this long non-coding RNA (1250 nucleotides) under Homo sapiens (human). RNAcentral's name for it is "non-protein coding lnc-GDF10-2:4". The record is from RNAcentral. Lineage: Eukaryota; Metazoa; Chordata; Mammalia; Primates; Hominidae.